RNAcentral lists this unclassified non-coding RNA (232 nucleotides) under Hevea brasiliensis (rubber tree). The record is from RNAcentral. Lineage: Eukaryota; Viridiplantae; Streptophyta; Magnoliopsida; Malpighiales; Euphorbiaceae.
CAGGGAAAGUUUCACAUCCAGGAAUAGGCCUCACUUUUCCCUUCUUAUCAACUUCAACUGGGUAUUUUAGCAGGUGCCCUCUCAUCUCUGUAACCUCGUCAGCUGUAUAUUGUCUCCAAUUCAUCUCCCCCAGUGUCCUAAUUCUUCUAACACAUUCAAGACUUGAUGGCUUUGUGAAGCAGUCCUCAAUAGCUCCAAUAUGUUCUGCCCAUAGUGACAUCCUAUAUCCAUA